UAGCGAAAUUCCUUGUCGGGUAAGUUCCGACCCGCACGAAAGGCGUAAUGAUUUGAGCGCUGUCUCGACAAUGCACCCGGUGAAAUUGAAAUACCAGUGAAGAUGCUGGUUACCUGCGCCAGGACGGAAAGACCCCAUGGAGCUUUACUCUAGCUUGAUACUGGGAUUCGGUACUGCAUGUACAGGAUAGGUGGGAGACGAAGAGGACAGGACGCCAGUCUUGUCGGAGUCGCUGUUGGGAUACCACCCUUGUGGUACUGGAUUUCUAACCAACCUCCGUGACCCGGAGGUGGGACAAUGUCAGGUGGGGAGUUUGACUGGGGCGGUCGCCUCCGAAAGGGUAUCGGAGGCGCUCAAAGGUUCCCUCAGAAUGGUUGGAAACCAUUCGAAGAGUGCAAAGGCAGAAGGGAGCUUGACUGCGAGACCGACGGGUCGAGCAGGUAGGAAACUAGGACUUAGUGAUCCGGUGGUAUGAAAGUGGGAUUGCCAUCGCUCAACGGAUAAAAGCUACCCUGGGGAUAACAGGCUUAUCACUCCCAAGAGUUCACAUCGACGGAGUGGUUUGGCACCUCGAUGUCGGCUCAUCGCAUCCUGGGGCUGAAGUAGGUCCCAAGGGUUGGGCUGUUCGCCCAUUAAAGCGGUACGCGAGCUGGGUUCAGAACGUCGUGAGACAGUUCGGUCCCUAUCCGGCGCGGGCGUAGGAUAUUUGAGAGGAGCUGCCCUUAGUACGAGAGGACCGGGGUGGACUGGCCUCUGGUGUAUCUGUUGAGCCAUCAGGCUCAUGGCAGAGUAGCCAAGCCGGGACGGGAUAAACGCUGAAGGCAUCUAAGCGUGAAGCCCCCCUCAAGAUGAGAUAUCCCUCCUUCGGGAGUAAGACCCCUUGAAGACUACAAGGUAGAUAGGGCAGAGGUGGAAGUGUGGCAACACAUGGAGCUGACUGUUACUAAUAGGUCGAGGGCUUGAUUAA
This 967-nucleotide ribosomal RNA is filed under the name human gut metagenome. RNAcentral's name for it is "bacterial LSU rRNA". It matches the Rfam family "Bacterial large subunit ribosomal RNA", at positions 1957 to 2925 of the family's 2925-position model. The record is from RNAcentral.